UACGGAGGGGGCUAGCGUUGUUCGGAAUUACUGGGCGUAAAGCGUGCGUAGGCGGUGAUUCAAGUCAGAGGUGAAAGCCUGGUGCUCAACAUCAGAACUGCCUUUGAAACUAGAUCGCUAGAAUUGCGGAGAGGUGAGUGGAAUUCCGAGUGUAGAGGUGAAAUUCGUAGAUAUUCGGAAGAACACCAGUGGCGAAGGCGGCUCACUGGACGCAUAUUGACGCUGAGGUACGAAAGCGUGGGGAGCAAACAGG
This 253-nucleotide ribosomal RNA is filed under the name uncultured bacterium. Its description in RNAcentral is "partial 16S ribosomal RNA". It matches the Rfam family "Bacterial small subunit ribosomal RNA", at positions 524 to 776 of the family's 1533-position model. The record is from RNAcentral.